AAUUUUGGACAAUGGGGGAAACCCUGAUCCAGCCAUCCCGCGUGUAUGAUGAAGGCCUUCGGGUUGUAAAGUACUUUUGGCAGAGAAGAAAAGGUAUCUCCUAAGACGAGAUACUGCUGACGGUAUCUGCAGAAUAAGCACCGACUAACUACUUGCAAGCAGCCGCGGGAAUACGUAUGGUGCAAGCGUGAAUCGGAAUUACUGGGCGUAAAGCGUGUGUAGGCGGUGCGGAAAAAAAGAUGUGCGAUCCCAGGGCUCAACCUUGGAACUGCAUUUUUAACUGCCGAGCUAGAGUAUGUCAGAGGGGAGUAGAAUUCCACGUGUAGCAGUGAAAUGCGUAGAUAUGUGGAGGAAUACCGAUGGCGAAGGCAGCCCCCUGGGAUAAUACUGACGCUCAGACACGAAAGCGUGGGGAGCAAACAGG
Molecule: ribosomal RNA, 424 nt
Filed under: uncultured bacterium
Lineage: Bacteria
Description: partial 16S ribosomal RNA
Rfam family: Bacterial small subunit ribosomal RNA
Source: RNAcentral